Cyanistes caeruleus (blue tit) is the source of this 258-nucleotide long non-coding RNA. RefSeq lists it as uncharacterized. The record is from RefSeq and is a predicted model, not a curated record. Lineage: Eukaryota; Metazoa; Chordata; Aves; Passeriformes; Paridae.
UUAAACAUUAGUUUAGAGCAGCCCUGUAUUUUUGCCAUUUCUGCCGAGGCAAAUGGAGAGGUUUAGGACCAGGGAAUGGGAGCUGCCUUUUUGUCUCUUAUUUAGCUGUACCCAGCACAGGCCAGGCACUUCAGGUCAAUGAUGAAGCACACAAGGUCACAAAAUGAAGAGGAGACUAUGGCGUUUAAACCAAGUUAAAAUAGUAGUGCUAAUUUUAACCUUGGUAGAUGAAAUAAUGAUCCUGCUAUAAGAAAACUA